This 429-nucleotide ribosomal RNA is filed under the name uncultured bacterium. RNAcentral's name for it is "bacterial SSU rRNA". It matches the Rfam family "Bacterial small subunit ribosomal RNA", at positions 608 to 1029 of the family's 1533-position model. The record is from RNAcentral.
CUCAACCGUGGAAUUGCUCGGUAUACUGCGGGUCUUGAGGUCGGUAGAGGUUGUCGGAACUCUAGGUGGAGCGGUGAAAUGCGUAGAUAUCUAGAGGAACGCCAAAGGUGAAGACAGGCAACUGGACCGAUUCUGACGCUCAGGCACGAAAGCGUGGGUAGCGAACGGGAUUAGAUACCCCGGUAGUCCACGCCCUAAACGAUGCGCACUAGAUCGUGGAGGUUUUGACGCCAUCGCGAUCGAAGCAAAAGUGUUAAGUGCGCCGCCUGGGGAGUACGGUCGCAAGGCUAAAACUCAAAGGAAUUGACGGGGGCUCACACAAGCGGUGGAGCAUGUGGCUUAAUUCGAAGCAACGCGAAGAACCUUAUCCUGGGUUUGACAUGUAUGGAUUAGUCUCCCGAAAGGGAGAUGACGCCCUUGGGUGGAACA